This 1372-nucleotide ribosomal RNA is filed under the name uncultured bacterium. RNAcentral's name for it is "bacterial SSU rRNA". It matches the Rfam family "Bacterial small subunit ribosomal RNA", at positions 28 to 1381 of the family's 1533-position model. The record is from RNAcentral.
GAUGAACGCUGGCGGCGUGCCUAAUACAUGCAAGUCGAGCGAACGGACGAGAAGCUUGCUUCUCUGAUGUUAGCGGCGGACGGGUGAGUAACACGUGGAUAACCUACCUAUAAGACUGGGAUAACUUCGGGAAACCGGAGCUAAUACCGGAUAAUAUUUUGAACCGCAUGGUUCAAAAGUGAAAGACGGUCUUGCUGUCACUUAUAGAUGGAUCCGCGCUGCAUUAGCUAGUUGGUAAGGUAACGGCUUACCAAGGCAACGAUGCAUAGCCGACCUGAGAGGGUGAUCGGCCACACUGGAACUGAGACACGGUCCAGACUCCUACGGGAGGCAGCAGUAGGGAAUCUUCCGCAAUGGGCGAAAGCCUGACGGAGCAACGCCGCGUGAGUGAUGAAGGUCUUCGGAUCGUAAAACUCUGUUAUUAGGGAAGAACAUAUGUGUAAGUAACUGUGCACAUCUUGACGGUACCUAAUCAGAAAGCCACGGCUAACUACGUGCCAGCAGCCGCGGUAAUACGUAGGUGGCAAGCGUUAUCCGGAAUUAUUGGGCGUAAAGCGCGCGUAGGCGGUUUUUUAAGUCUGAUGUGAAAGCCCACGGCCCAACCGUGGAGGGUCAUUGGAAACUGGAAAACUUGAGUGCAGAAGGGGAAAGUGGAAUUCCAUGUGUAGCGGUGAAAUGCGCAGAGAUAUGGAGGAACACCAGUGGCGAAGGCGACUUUCUGGUCUGUAACUGACGCUGAUGUGCGAAAGCGUGGGGAUCAAACAGGAUUAGAUACCCUGGUAGUCCACGCCGUAAACGAUGAGUGCUAAGUGUUAGGGGGUUUCCGCCCCUUAGUGCUGCAGCUAACGCAUUAAGCACUCCGCCUGGGGAGUACGACCGCAAGGUUGAAACUCAAAGGAAUUGACGGGGACCCGCACAAGCGGUGGAGCAUGUGGUUUAAUUCGAAGCAACGCGAAGAACCUUACCAAAUCUUGACAUCCUUUGACAACUCUAGAGAUAGAGCCUUCCCCUUCGGGGGACAAAGUGACAGGUGGUGCAUGGUUGUCGUCAGCUCGUGUCGUGAGAUGUUGGGUUAAGUCCCGCAACGAGCGCAACCCUUAAGCUUAGUUGCCAUCAUUAAGUUGGGCACUCUAAGUUGACUGCCGGUGACAAACCGGAGGAAGGUGGGGAUGACGUCAAAUCAUCAUGCCCCUUAUGAUUUGGGCUACACACGUGCUACAAUGGACAGUACAAAGGGCAGCGAAACCGCGAGGUCAAGCAAAUCCCAUAAAGUUGUUCUCAGUUCGGAUUGUAGUCUGCAACUCGACUACAUGAAGCUGGAAUCGCUAGUAAUCGUAGAUCAGCAUGCUACGGUGAAUACGUUCCCGGGUCU